UAUCCCUAACCUCACCAAGCCCACCAUCCCCACACAUCGCGUGCCUUGGAUCGCGCCGCUGCCCUGCUCCCGUCGUUGUUCCCUUUCCCAUCCGCCGCUGCUGUCCAUCGCAUCCAACCUCUAUCACAUCCCAUCGGCUCAACCGCCACCAUGAACCAUCACUCUCCUUGGUCUCUUCUAUUUGACCUGCACACGAUCGCAGAUGCUUCUGGUGGUGUGUGGCGACGCGGCCGAUCGAGGGAACCGGGGUGAGGCGGACUGUGUCCCGUUCGUCGAUCUGCCCCCAUCUCCUGUUCCUCCUCUCAGAAUGUCAUGUUCGCAGUUACUGUGACACAUAAUGCUAUCCUCUUUUGCAGCGGUGCCUAUAGGUGACAACAAUGGUGUUCUGAUGUGCCCUGUUGUACCCCUCCACACUUGAGGCCGCCGAGGAGAAGAUCACGCUCCCUGUAGAAAAUUCGGCCAUGUUCUAAGUGGCUAGCCGGCAAGGGUUGGACGACAUAAUGCCAACGACCUCACCCUAGGAGUCCACUUCACGGUCAUGGCAUCUGCCUCUACCAAUUAUCUAGAGGAGUUAAGUUCCAGAGAUGAAUGAGGAGGUUAACUUUGAGAUGCAGCACUCUAUGUGUUCACGCAAUCGGAAUGGCCGAAAUAUCAUGCCAAUAUGAGGGACCUCCGAACUAUCAAGCCAAUAUGCGUUUUAUGCCUUUCCUGUUAGGAUUAUCUCCCUUCUCCAUGGAUAAAUUGCUUGAUGUGUUCCAUGGUGCAGUUGAAUUGGAUACAAGCAUGCUACAAAUCUUGUAGUAAUUUAAUAAGGCAUUUGAUGGGCUCCUAUCAUUCUAAUCUACUUCCCACAUUUUAGUGUUGAUGUUAAUUAGUACUCUGUAGUGAGCCUAAGAAAUAGUACUAUGGGGAGAAUCAGGCAACACCUAAUAUGUAUGUCGUUUGAGAAAAAUGAAACUUCCUACUUUCCAACGGUCGGUUACGUAUGUACAUGUAAAAAAGCACCAUCUUAGACAAAUAUAUCAUUCACCAAGUUUAGUGAAAGUUAGCUUAAAUACCAUGUAUUUUUCCGCACGCAGAUUAUUGCCUACUGUAGGCCAUCCUCUAUAUAUAUAUGAUAGUCUAAUAAUAGUCAAGCAUGACAAAAAAACUUCACUCCAGUAAUUUCGUUGCUCCAUAAGAGCUAACAAUUGUUAAAAAAACAAAUCACAUACUCCAUGUGUCCCAAAUUAAGUGACUCAACUUUGUACUAACUUUGUAAUGAUUUCAUCUCUUUCUAGGAAUAGGCACUGUAUUUUCACUCUUAUGCAAAAAGACUUGAAAUCAGGAUUUUUAUUUUAUUUUUUCAUGAUAUUCAGAGGAAUAUUAGCUUCAGUACCAUACAAAGGGUGACGCAAGUGGUACUUGACAUACCAUGGCGUCCAAUGUCUAGGUUAGCAGAACCACAUCAUGUUUUGCUCUUUGCGUUCUAUACAUCAGCAAUGGACAAGAGCAGUGAUGGAGUCCUAAGAAAGAACCCAAAAAUAACUGCACUGUCUUAUUCACAUUUGAGGGCAAAACUACAUCAAGGAAUGAGGUUAAGCAAAUAUCGGUGCUCAAGAUGUUACGAGACACUUCUCAUGCAUGUUGAUAUUCUCCUUUUUUUGAGUUUCCUUUAAGGUGCAGUAUUUUGUUUUAUUUGUUAUACAAAAUAGUGCAGUUGUUUGUGAUUUGAUAUGAAGGCAUGUAAUUCCUUGGAAAACUCCCACACUAUAUUUUGAUCCAAGUUCAAUUGUACUGAUGUCGAUUAAUACAUUUACAGUACAUUAUUAA
Molecule: long non-coding RNA, 1812 nt
Organism: Hordeum vulgare subsp. vulgare (domesticated barley)
Lineage: Eukaryota; Viridiplantae; Streptophyta; Magnoliopsida; Poales; Poaceae
Exons: 4
Source: RefSeq, a predicted model, not a curated record